GUUCUUGCAACGAACUCGGUUCCCUAAUCCUCACAGAGAUCUAACGUUCUCUUAGAUCUCGUCCCUUUCCCAUACCAUCCAUGUAUUUUUUUCCUCUAACUACCGCUCCUCUGUAGUUCACAAAUUCAACAUGCAUUCUGACCAAUGAUACAUUAAGACACACCACUACUGAUGACUUAUGAACAAUCACUCAUACCCUUUAACCAUAAUUCGCUCAACUGACACAUGGACACAUUGUGAAAUCCAACGUUCGUUGCGGCCCCUCCAGACGGCAUGCCACGACCACAAUGUCCUCCUCUUUUACAACCGAAGCAUCCUUAACUUAUAGUUCAAUCAACCUCCUCGAGCCGUUCCACUUGCUCAGUAGUUUCAUGGAUCCUUUUCAGCUCGAAUUCCAGAUCUCCCCCACUUUCGAUCAAGCAUACAAAGGUCCCAUGUGAUCUCUCCUUCCAGCCUCGUACCAGUACAUCAAUAUGUCCCAUUCCUAUUGUGAGACCUAUAACUGUUGUAGUCACCCACCAUGGGCUUGUUAAGGAGAUUAUAGACAUCGGCCCAAGAGAGCCCUCCCAUUUCUUUAUUAACCUCAGUCUCUUUCCCCAAGAGGAUCAUCUAUCAUCCUUAUCAGCAU
RNAcentral lists this long non-coding RNA (628 nucleotides) under Brassica napus (rape). Its description in RNAcentral is "long non-coding RNA (BNAP_LNC017212)". The record is from RNAcentral. Lineage: Eukaryota; Viridiplantae; Streptophyta; Magnoliopsida; Brassicales; Brassicaceae.